GACAAGCUAACAAGAGAUGGAAG
RNAcentral lists this non-coding RNA (23 nucleotides) under Arabidopsis thaliana (thale cress). The record is from RNAcentral. Lineage: Eukaryota; Viridiplantae; Streptophyta; Magnoliopsida; Brassicales; Brassicaceae.